GGAAUAUUGGUCAAUGGUCGGAAGACUGAACCAGCCAAGUAGCGUGCAGGACGACGGCCCUACGGGUUGUAAACUGCUUUUAUGCGGGGAUAAAGUGGGGGACGCGUUCCCCUUUUGCAGGUACCGCAUGAAUAAGGACCGGCUAAUUCCGUGCCAGCAGCCGCGGUAAUACGGAAGGUCCGGGCGUUAUCCGGAUUUAUUGGGUUUAAAGGGAGCGCAGGCUGAUUGUUAAGCGUGACGUGAAAUGUAGCCGCUCAACGGCUGCACUGCGUCGCGAACUGGCAGUCUUGAGUGAGUACGACGUCAGCGGAAUUCGUGGUGUAGCGGUGAAAUGCUUAGAUAUCACGAAGAACCCCGAUUGCGAAGGCAGCUGACGAGUCCUUUACUGACGCUAAAGCUCGAAGGUGCGGGUAUCGAACA
Molecule: ribosomal RNA, 420 nt
Filed under: uncultured Prevotella sp.
Lineage: Bacteria; Pseudomonadati; Bacteroidota; Bacteroidia; Bacteroidales; Prevotellaceae
Description: bacterial SSU rRNA
Rfam family: Bacterial small subunit ribosomal RNA
Source: RNAcentral